Coregonus clupeaformis (lake whitefish) is the source of this 1558-nucleotide long non-coding RNA. RefSeq lists it as uncharacterized. The record is from RefSeq and is a predicted model, not a curated record. NCBI's taxonomy places the organism in Eukaryota, Metazoa, Chordata, Actinopteri, Salmoniformes, Salmonidae. The transcript is spliced from 6 exons.
UUUGCUUAAGUUUUACUUUGUUCCUCUUCUGAGUGAAUAACAUUAUCAUUGACGUCAUAUCUGUAGUCGGUCUGAGCGGGCAGUGUCGGGUCAACGUUUGGAUCUGCAGUUGGUCAGUAUGUGUGGAAGUGUAUCCAGACUUGCUCUGCUUCUGGUGCUAUGGGGUCUAUGCACAGCUGUUGACGGAGAACACAGCUACAAGUGUCUGGAACCGUCAACGAGGUGCCACAACACUACUUGUUGUUGCUUGUUAGUCAGAUGAAGUGACUCGAGAGAAAACAUUGGAGAUCGGAGGAGCAGAUGCCACUCUUCUCUGCCCAAACCAAACAAUCACUAACAUCCUUAUUGUAGUAUGUCAGAAAAAUAGAGUUAUAAGUGGGGGUCAUGACUGUAGAGUUUCACAAGACUUUGAGAAAGAUCAUACCAACAGCACUUGUGACCCCAGAGUCACACUACAGACAGAGAAUGACAGAGUGUUUCUACACAUCACCAACAUUCAACCAUCUGAUGAAGGGAACUACACCUGUUAUUGUACAUAUCAUGAAGGCAAUGCUGAAAUAAACAUACAUAUUUCUGUCAAUGGAACCCAAGUGCAAGAGGCCACAGACAACAGUCUCUUCUAUUUUGGGAUGAUAACAGGUGUUGCAGCAUGUGUAGCUGUCCUGGUGUUUGGUGGCAUAAUCAUGAGGAAAAUUCAUCUCAGGAGAACACAGCUACAAGUGUCUGGAACCGUCAACGAGGAGGAGCAACAGGACAUUCCCAGCACGUUCACAGGGAGAGACAAUGGGCUUUACUCAACUCUCCAGCUGCCUCAUCCUAACCUCUGUCCCUCAGGCACCGUUGACCAAUGACCACAUGACAUUAGACACCUUCUAGUAACAUCUAGCUAUACAGCUCUACGGUAGAGUGGUAGAUAUACAUUUACUGUGAAUAUUUUGAUUACUGAUAAUGCAAAAACAAAUCCCUAUCUGACUUGCCAUAUAUCAGCCUCUCCUUUACUGUAGAUCUUCUGUGGUUGUUGUAAAUAUCAACACAUACUGUAUGCAGGCUGCACAUCUGUAAUGGAAAUACAAUUGUUAUAUACAUGUCUCAAAAUUAUAGCUGUUCUGUUGUUGUUUGCGGAUAGAACAAAGCUGUUUCUGUGGAGAUCACCUGAUCCCAAAAUCAUAAACUUUUCCACCAGGUGUCAGUAUACUGUUGUAAAAGACUUAACAUUUUCCUGUCAUAAACAUUAAUGGAGAAAUCAGUAAAAGUCCCAACUGCCACUGUAUUCAAACUGUAACUUUAGAAAACAGAAUAUUAAUGUAGACCUGUUUUAUAGUUUUCUGUUUACUAUAUAGGCCUGGCUACAUGAAUUAGGCUACAUGUUUAAGUGGAUAUGUUAAUAAAAAAAAAAAAAUAGAACUGUUUUUCCAACAAACAAAAAAAGUGAGAAAAAAAACAUGUACGCAUGCUUUAGCCUAUGUACUUCUGUGGAUGCAAGGCCAGUCUAUUAAAAGCAUGAGAUAACUGUUUCAUGGUGGCAGCUCCUUUGUUUCCUUCCUGCACAUCACAGUUA